Molecule: RNA transcript, 8135 nt
Organism: Ochlerotatus camptorhynchus
Lineage: Eukaryota; Metazoa; Arthropoda; Insecta; Diptera; Culicidae
Gene: ear
Gene name: ENL/AF9-related
Exons: 4
Source: RefSeq, a predicted model, not a curated record
ACGUGCAAAAUGUAGAACAUUCGGAUCGUUCCAGAUUCUUUCGAUAAAAUGUAAAAAUCCGUUUAAAAAUUUACCGAAAAUAGUUGCACCAAACGUCUGACGUGUUAAUCUCGUGGAGUUCAUUUAAAACCGUGCCGAUCUGUUGCGGAAAAUGUGUGCAAAAAGUGUCUGGCCACUUUAGGAAAGUCAGACUUUUCUUUUACGGCUGCUGAAGAUUACACACACACACAUUCGUUUAUGGUUUGCACUUGCAGUGGGAGACGGGAGUAAAAAGUGAGUGUUUUUGAUUUUUCUCAACCGCGGGAAUCGAGUUCACUGGUGUGGUGAGUGAAAAGUGAGACGCCGCGCUGCAGCAGUAGUAUUUGUGAAGCAUCAGUGUUUGUUUUCCUUUUGCGGUCACGCAGUGUUCUCAGGACGGAAAAGGCGUCGCAAACAGCAAUCAAAAUUCUGCGAUGUAACCAAAACCGUAUCCGUAAUGCUUUUGUUUGGCUUAUCAGUUGAGUGCUAAGUUUUUCAAAAAAAUAUAUAUAUUAUCAAAGAACAGGCAGUUAACAUCGUGCUGUGGUUAAUGACAUUUUUAUCAUUCUUGUUUAUACUUGCACUGCCAACGCUGUUUACAAUCGAGGGGUCAUACAGUAGCUCAAAACUGUCAGAGAGAUUGCAUUAAGCUGAACACACACUCAUAUGAAUUUUGAAGCGAGUCUUGCAAAAAAAAAAGUUAGAAAAUUUUGACUGCCAGUUGCAGCGAUUGUUGGAUCAAACAUAAUUUUCAGUGAAAACUCCGCAUAUUUUAGUUAUUUCAACCUACAUUCGACCGUAAUUCGAGAACCGAAACAGUGAAUUCCAAGCUUCCAGAAGCAAACUAUAUGAAUACGCACACCAUAGCAAGUUCAUGCAUAAUCAUAAUAAGCUCAUCUUGUGCACCGUCGUUUACUGGGUACGCAACAGCACAAGAGGAGAAGUGCAAUACGUGAAGGAGAUUGAAGCGUAUAUUGUCAAAACUGAAGAGACAACUCGUGAUUCUUACAAUCGGAGCAAAACAGACGGUCGAAAAGAUUAGCUUACAUCUUGAAUUUGUUUCGAAGAUGAGUGUGCACUUCACAGUGUCAUCGUGGAAACUUUCGUAAAGAAGAAAUUGAGUGAAAAGCAGCAGCAUUUAUUUCCGGUCAUCGACAUACUUUCAGUCACCAACGCCUAGCGCACAGCAGCAGAUCGAGUAAUAUACGGAACCGCAGGGGGCAACCAUGUCGGUAAAGGUGAUAUUCGAAAUUGGCCACGAGGCAUCGAUCAAGGCACGUACCACUCCGGAAGGCUACACGCACGAUUGGGAACUGUUUGUGAGAGGCAGCGAUGGCGGUGAUAUUAGCCACUUUGUCGACAAGGUGGUUUUUACCCUGCACGAAUCGUUUCCCAAGCCUAAGCGGGUGUUGAAGGAGCCUCCGUACGUGGUGAAGGAGCAAGGAUAUGCCGGGUUUAUUCUGCCAAUUGAUAUCUACUUCAAAAACAAGGGCGAUGAACCGAAGAAGAAGGCAUUUUCCUACGAUCUGGAUUUGCAGUCGUUCAAGCUGCAGAGGGAAGAAUACGUGAUAGCCAAUCCUUCCGAUGAUUUCAAGAGGAAACUGUUGAAAGGUGGUGGAGCGCUAUUAAACAGUGGAAUUUCCUCGUUGGCUACUUCAGUGGAUUACAAAAGUGGUCGCAGCAGUGGAAGCGGUGAGAAAAGCAGCUCAUCACAGGAUAAAAAGUACAAGAAAAGCUCCGGAGAUGAUUCGAAAGUUCAGAGCGCAUUUGCAAACUUGUUCGGGCCAUCAAUAACCAAGGGUAGUAGCAAGGUAUCGCCUGAUCCCGCCGCCAAGCAAAGCUCAUCGUCGUCCAGCAAAACAUCGCCCAAUGUUGGGGGCAGUGUUAGCAGCAGCAGUAGUAAAAAUCAACAGGUGAGCUCGAAAGGUGAUCGCUCCAGUACAAGUUCUUCGAAAGACAAGGACAAGAGCGACAAAGACAAGUCGUCAAAACACAAACAUUCGAGCCCUAACAAAGAGAAAGAAUCUAAAAAAUCGUCAUCCAGUGAAGAUAAGCAUAGCAAGGAAAAGAAAGACAAAAGCCAUUCCAAAGAACGGGACAAAGCUAAAGAGAAAAGUUCUAGUUCGUCGUCUUCCUUUUCGAAGAGACCACUAAGCCCAAAACGGAACAGCUCUGGGACGAUUUCCGGUUCAACGUUGACUGCCGGUUCGACAUCGACGGCAAAAAGGCAUCCAUCACCUUCUGUACCACCGCCAGUAGUGGUACCACCAAGCGUCAGUUCCAAGCCGGAGGAAAAACCCGCAAGUAAACAUAGUGGUGAAAAAGAAAAGAAAAAGGAAAAGAAAGACAAGAAAAACUACGACAAAGAUAAAGAGCGUAGUGAGAAAAAGGAUCGUGAGCAAAAGAAAGACAAAGAUCAAGAGAAAAGUAGCAGCUCUACUUCCGAUAAACCAAAAUCGGAUAUCAUAAAACCGAGCAAACUGGAUACUGUUAAGCUCGACCAGAAACUGUACUCGAAGGAGAAGAAAAUCUCGGAAGAGCCGCCUAAAUCAGCCCACAUAGAAGUUCCCCAGUUGCAGCAAACCGCAGUACCCACUCCAGUGCAGGAACCUCUCAAGCGGGUUGAGAAGCCGGAUGCUAAAGAAAAGGACAAGGAAGAACGAAAGCACAAACACAAGAAGAAAGAUAAAUCCAAAGAUAAGGAGAAAGAACGGUCUUCCAGUAGCAAGGAUAAGAAGGAAAAGAAGGACAAAGAAAAGUCCUCCAACAGUAAGCCAAGCUUCCCAACUCCUCCAGUUAGGGAACCGGAAGUGCUGUCUCCUAUAAAACCGGCAAAAUUGUCGGAUCCUACGAAAUCUCUUCAACCCGAAAGAGAAGCGCAAGCGGCACCACCACCACCUCCUCCUCCUCCGCCGCCUCCUAAGACUAAUCCGCUAAGUUCAAUGGUAGAAGAACUUAGUGGUGACAAUAGUAGCGACUCCGAAGCGGACAGUCCUCCAUCAAUAAUCCAAGACAAAGAUUCGGAAAAUUCAAACAGCAGUAUAGCAGACUUACUAACAGCAAGACCUCCAUCGGCUGCGUCCUCCAGUACUUCAUCCAGUAUUACGAAACAACCGGAACCAAGGCACGUUCCCGAACCUCCUCCACCGGUCGUAGAACCGCCGAAGCCGGAGAAGACUCACCAUAAGAACAAAAAGGAAAAGCUGAAAAAUGCCUCAUCCGACGGCAAAGAGGAAGGUAAGAAGCGAAAACGGAAAAACAAGGAUGCCGAGGGCGAAAAGGAAAAAGAAAAAAAAUCCUCAACACCCACCAUUCCUGCAAUCCGAAGGAGUCCGUCACCUCCAACGCCCCCACCAACCCUGAUGGAGCCACCAGUAAAGAUCCCCAAACGAGAUGACACCUACAACAAGCGUGAGGAGUCACCAGCAUCGAACAACAACAACCACUCGAAAAUGCUUCCCCCAGAGGACGUCGGCACAACCUCAUCCUACUACAAUAACAACAAUGCUUCCGUUGUUCCGAUGGUAACGCCGGCGCAGCUCCUGCCACCGACAUCGUCCCAGCCGAACAACAACAACAGUUCCAGUGCGACUACGAUGACAAAUCUGUCCGGCGAUUACAUGUCGGAGCUAAAGGAUCUGCAGCACAAAAUUAUGACCCUGCAGGACAACAACGAACUGCAGCGGGUCGUCGAGAUGAUAGCAGCCACCGGAUGCUAUGAAAUUACUAGCGCAACAUUUGACUUCGAUCUGUGCGCUCUGGACCGGCACACGGUCCAACGGUUGCAAGACUUCUUCGCCACGUCCUGUUCGUCUUGACAGUAAGUUGUUUCCUUCCCCGUCUACAAAAUUUGCAAAAUCCCGAAUUUUAAUCCCGGAUUUAUUUUACUAUUUAAAAAAACAGAACACUCAACCGAAGAUUUCCUUCGUUUUAUCCUAUUUGUAUAAGUUAUUGUGCUUUAAAUUAUAGUUUUAUUUAUUUCCGUAUAUUUUUUUUCGGAUUUGUUAAAAGUUUUUACGACAAAGACUUUUCUCCCCGGCGUAUUCGUGUUUUAACCGAAAAAAAAAAUGGGAAAGAGUCAAAAUCUGUACUCAUUGUAGAAAUUUGGUAGAUUGCACACUUGAAAGCAUUAUAGAAAUUGUACAAAAUAAAAACUGAAGAUUUAGGAAAAGCGUCUCGUACACUUUCCACAAGGCUGGUGUUUGUGUUUGCGUGUCAGUCAGUUAUACAGCCCCGGCUGCCAGUCGUCGUCGGGAGGAACUUUUGUAGAUAUACCAUCAUUAAACAACCUCCCGCCACCCAUCAUAAGGUAGCAGUGGGCUUACAAUACGUUUAUUGCAGACGUGGACAGUGGAUUGAGUGGCAAACAGAUGACAAAUGAAAAUCAACAGGACACAGGUGGCAUUAUUAGGUGAUAAGUAAUCGUAAACGCUCUGUCUAAAUCAUUGCACACGAAAUCGUAAAAAAAAACUAGAUACUCGACGUUUAAUUCCAACAUGGUUUGAGUAUGGGUCAAACGGUGGUAGCAAUGUGUGGUUGAAUUGUUAGAAUAUUCGCGCUUAAUGGUCGGUCCUUUCCUUUAGAUAGGAAAAGUAAGCAAAGGUGAAGAUGGCCUAACGAUAGCCUUUCACUAAGGUUGUGAACCAUUUGCCGACCUAAAUUUAACUCGUGGUUAAAAGUGACAUUUCGAAAGUUAUUUCUUAUGUUCGAAAAUCCCUGUGCUGUCGAUCACCCGGUUUUCGAGCAGAACUCAGCCACGGUUGUCAACAUUUAGCUUCUUGUCUGUCAGAAAUAAACAACGCUCGGAUAGCAGGGUUAAUCGAUAAUUUUCCAUCUGUCAAAUUUGAACCAAAAGUUAAAAUAAUCCACCAAAUGGUUCAGAGCCUAAGUGGGCCCAACGAGCGAAAGUUCACUGUACUAGCGCAGUGUUGAACAGGAGACAGGAAAGACCAUCACCUUGUGGAAGAUCCGAUAUUUACACAGAGCACUGCAUCGUAGCCCUUCACCACAGACAAACAGACGUAACUCUUCAUAUGGCCAUGAAAAACCCUUUUUGAGAAAAGGGGGAAUACUAUUUAAGGAGAUUCCUUGAAGAACCCAAAAAUUACCGUCAUUAUGGAUGAUAUGCCCUAUCACUUCAAGUUUUCUAAGAGCACAUGUCUCUUUUUUCCCCUUGAUUUGUUUUCCGAACUGAGUACCAAUGCUACCGACGCCAGGGAGGUAUAGCUCCCGGUGUGGGAGCCGGUGUGGCUUUACUUUCCUUCCAAAGGAAUGUGUGAUCAGAGAUGUUAUGCCUAAGAAAAUUCCGAGUGAGAUGCAGUAAUGCUUACCACUACACCACCGGUGCCGCUGUAGCACACAUGUUGGUAACUGUUGCGACAUCGCUCAUGAAAUUGGAACUUCCUGUUUGCUUGCGCUGAUGCAAACGUGGAGUUCUAGUUACAUUGUUUUAAGUUAAAAGUUUGUGUUUGUUUUGAUUCGUCUUAUAAAUUUGACAGAAUUUAAGGGGCGGUUCGUGGAUUUUCCUAUGUAUCGAGGAGUGCUUCAAUUAGCUUGAGACCGAGGUCUGGUACUUUUUUUCCCUUGAUUUGUUUUUCGUCGAUCUUGUUUUCCGUACUGAGUUCCUAUGCUACGGACGCCAGGAAGGCAGCUCCCACACCUGGAUCCUACCUAUCGACCCAUUAACUCGUAGACCGGAGACCAACGGGUUUUCUUCCCAAAUCCCGACGGUGCCGACUGGGAUUGACUCCAGGCCCUUUGGAGUAAGGUCUGGUACUUCCUGAGCCAAAAGAUUGAGCAUGUUUCCGCGUUGGGACCCCGUUGUCUUAAUGUUAGUCUAUGGUAACAGUGUGCAAGCGUUUUUGUAGCGAAUGGUUCAACGGGUUCAACAUGCCGACGCAACGGUUAUGAGUGGCGCUGAUUACCUGACGCUCAAAUCUGCCAGAAGUGGACGGGUCUGUUAUUUGCGCUUGCCUUCAAGUUUAAUUUGGUUUCGUGGCCCACACUUGUGAAAGGAUAUACAGGUUAGACUUGAUUAUUAAAAUGUCUAUGGAAGACUUAAGAAGCAAACUAGAAUUCAAGACCAACAAUUGAAAUGGCCUUAACUCCAUUUUGUAAACAAACCUUGUAAGGCCAUUUUCUCGCGAACCAAUGGCCGUAUUAGAUGCUAGGUGAACUUUUUUUUUUCAUCGAACUGUAUGUUGAAAUUAGCUGGAAUAAUGUCUAUACAUGGCCGUGGGGAAACAACGAGAAUAUCGACGAAGAGAAUAUGUCAAUGAUACAUAAGACCAUUGUUCGGCUUCACCAUUGUUCAUCGUUUAUUGGCCCAUAUCAUACAUAUCAUACCUGACUGGGAAAGGACGUGUCCAGGCAAUUAGCUGUCCACUCAUUAAAUGGUGGUCAGCUUGCAUGAUACGAACAGUAAACAGGGGUACCACAAAAGUUCAAAUAAUGGACGCAGUGGUACAACCUCUAUGGUACAACUCCCGCAAAAAAAUUGUUCGGCUUGAUAUGUACAUGAGCAAAUCGAACAUUAUGGCCCCGAUUACGAGUGUCACUUCACGGUGAAACCGAAGUGAAGUGACCAGUUGUCACUCACGGCGAAGUGAUUGCCGUGUAAAUCAAAUGGGAAUCACUUCACCGUGAGUGACAAGUUGUCACUUCACCGUGAAGUGACAUCGGUAAUAAGGGCCUAUGUAUUUCUUUUGUCAGUCCCUGUGAUAGAGUCACCACACUAGACUGGGCCUACUUCAAGAUCGUAUGAUCAAACGGUAGUUUGGCAUAAGAAAUGCUGUUCGAAUAGUAUCGUCUUCGAACUGUCGUUGUUCAUUUAGAACUUCUAUACUGCCGCUAUUGGCACUGAUAUUCGAAUAUCGGCAGUAUACCGAUGAUUCCCAAUCCAUCGCUCCUAACACAGGGAACAAAUUCUGUUUGAGCCGCUCUUAAUCUUGCGAAUGGACGAAUCGACUCGAGAAAGCAUUUCACCCCUUUAGCGUGCUGUUUGAUUCGUGGGGUAGCUUGUGAGCUCUUGUGAGUACUGGCCCCAACGCUUGUAUGAAAAAGUUGUUUCGUCUUGAUUACAUAACGUGACCCCUUCACUCGUCAUUUGUAAAUGUAUUGCCACACAUUGCUUCCCAAUUGACCGAUACUUGCAAUCUUGUAAUAAAGGAGCUAAGCGAGACUUGAAAUUAUUUUAGCUUUCGUUUCGUUUUGGUUCCACUGGAAUCGCUACAGUUUCCUUAACUACACACACACACACACUCACACUAACUCAACCAACUUUCGUAUGCAAUCAUACCCAAAGUAACGUAACUGUUGUAAUUCUCAAAGCAUUCAACAUCACAACAAAAACAGGCAUAACAGUAUGUAAAUAUAAGUCAUUAGUAUAGUGAAAGACGACAAGCCAACCCUGUUCGGUAUAAUAUUAAUCCCAAAAUUAUGUUAUAAAUGGUCCCCUGGAUCAUAUACGUACCAGCCGAAAAUCGGGAUAAGCAUAAUAGACACUGCAGCAACACUUGUUUCAGUCAAAAGGACCCUCUCAAAUCAACACUUAUUUUCAAACACUAUUAUGCAAGCACCCGAGUCAGCGCGCCAUGCAAUAUUUGUAUAUUUGUUGGUUACUAUAUUAUAUAUGGUAUAUUUAUAUUUAAUUCCAAAGUAACGCUAAAGCAUAUUGUUACAAACACGCAUUGAACAACAACUCUCAUGAUGACAGGAAAACGAGAAGAAGUGUUUGUGUAUUUUGAAUGGUGUGUAAGUGUAGAACAACAGCUAUACAAGAAGUUAGGCAGGUAAGAAGACGUAUUAGAGGAAAGGAUCGGCUAAAGUAUUUACAAAACAAUAGAGCAGGAAACGGAGGCAUAUAAGAGAUUGGUUUGUCGCAUUAUUUUUCACACCACACACUCGUAAGUCGCAUCCAGUAAUAAUAAUUGUUAAGGGAAGUCCUAUAAGUACCUUACACGUAUAUUAGGUUUGUCGUCCGUUUUCGUGAUGGAAUGCGCCCAUACGCACUAGCUAAGUUCAGUCAGACUUUCGUUCUUAGGCAUCUAGGGAUGAUUUCUCCUAGCAAAAGUGAGAAAAAGCAAAACUAAUAAAAUUUAAGCAAAUAAUGAAUGCAA